Molecule: ribosomal RNA, 498 nt
Filed under: uncultured bacterium
Lineage: Bacteria
Description: partial 16S ribosomal RNA
Rfam family: Bacterial small subunit ribosomal RNA
Source: RNAcentral
GAUGAACGCUAGCGGCAGGCCUAAUACAUGCAAGGCGAACGACAUUUUCCAGCUUGCUGGGAGAGAAAUUGGCGCACGGGUGCGUAACGCGUAUGCAACCUACCUUUAUCAGGGAGCUAGCCCGGAGAAAUCCGGAGUAAUACCGCAUAAAAUCAAAGAACGGCAUCGUGCCAUGGUCAAACAUUUAUGGGAUAAAGAUGGGCAUGCAUGUCAUUAGCUAGUUGGCGGGGGAACGGCCCACCAAGGCGACGAUGACUAGGGCGUCGGAGAGGAUGGCCCCCCACCCUGGUACUGAGACCCGGACCAGACUCCUACGGGAGGCAGCAGUAAGGAAUAUUGGUCAAUGGGGGCAACUCUGAACCCGCCAUGCCGCGUGCAGGAAGACUGCCCUAUGGGUUGUAAACUGCUUUUCUCCGGGAAUAAACCUCCGAUCGUGAUCGGAGCUGAAUGUACCGGAAGAAUAAGGAUCGGCUAACUCCGUGCCAGCAGCCGCAGUAA